UCCUGAGCAAUUUCGGGAUAUGCCCUAC
RNAcentral lists this non-coding RNA (28 nucleotides) under Mus musculus (house mouse). Lineage: Eukaryota; Metazoa; Chordata; Mammalia; Rodentia; Muridae. The record is from RNAcentral.